Molecule: RNA transcript, 1837 nt
Organism: Leopardus geoffroyi (Geoffroy's cat)
Lineage: Eukaryota; Metazoa; Chordata; Mammalia; Carnivora; Felidae
Gene name: serine/arginine repetitive matrix protein 1-like
Exons: 2
Source: RefSeq, a predicted model, not a curated record
ACGGGUAAGUGGCGGAACGUCACUCAGCCACGAGAGGAACGAGGUAGCGAGCUGGGCUGCAACGGGGACGGGGCCCCGACACACCACGGGGCCAAGGCAAGCAAGCCAGGUUUCAAACAAACGUGUCUCCCCAUCACGACGCCAUCAGGAGAACUCAGGCUGUGGUGUCGCCGAGAACAUUCCUGAAAGAAGUCAGGACACAGGUUUUCCGAGAUGCAGCGAGGCUCGGCGUUCCUCCCUUCCCGGCGUGGGAGGGUCACCCCCUGACCUCUGCUCUUCUGGGUCACGGGACCACACUUCCCAGGGUGGGUCCCAUCCUCGUGGUGUGGGUGGGACCAUCUGGCAGCCCCCACCCGUAGGCUCUGCCCCGACAGCAAAGCCACUGGGCGCCCUCCCCGCUCCCCGCUCCCCGCUCCGGGCCUGAUCUAGGACGUGCGGAGCUCUGGGCCAUCUUCCCGCUCAGUGUGCCUCUCCCACGUGCUUCCCGUGAACCCGGGCCCCCAGGCCCACCUGCCUGCCUGGCCUCUCCACCCACAUGGUGAGCGGGCAUCCCAGAUUUCACGCGUCCAGACCAAACUUCUGAUUUCCCGCGUGCCCCCAGCCCAGCCCACUCCUCCCUCGUGUCCCCAUCUCAGGAGAUGGCAUCGCCAUCCACCGAGCACAGAGCCCGGGACCGUGCCCGUCCGCUCUGUUUAACGCGCGUGCCACGUCCACCUGACGGCACGUCCCGACGUGUCACCUGGCGGCGUGUCCUGACAGCGCUGCCUCCGAGACGUGUCCCAACCCGAGGAGGCCGAGUCUCGUCCCGCCCCCGUCACAUCCUGCCUAGACCAGCAACGGUCCCCCGACGGGGCUCCGCCCGCACCCUCCUGGCCACGGUCACCCAACCACACGGUGCGGGCCGCCCCACCUCACUGCCUCGCAGGCGCUCGGCCAGGCAGACAAGGAGCGCAGGCAACAGCAGGGGGUGGGGGUCCCCCGAGGGAGUUCGGAGUCCGGGACGACCUCAGUAGCUGCUACAGCCUGGGCAGCCUCUCUCGCGCGUAAAUCUCGGCCGUGGCGCCUCGUCCUACCCGGCGCCACGCCAUCGGGCACAGGCCCAGAAAGCCGAGGCCCCCUUGGGACGACGAGGCGCAGCUCUCAGGGACGGUCGGCACUGGACGUCUUCAGAAGAGCGCGGACCGGCCUUGCGGCCUCAGAGGGGCUCCCUUCCGUGCUUCCUGCCACGGCACGAGGCCCGUGAGUCACCGGGCACAGGUGAGGGUCACACUGCGGCCUCGUGUCAAACCCUUGUCUUACCAACCAUCAGAGCCAGGAGCCGAAAGUCAUCGGUGCCUUGCCUUGGGGUUUGCCAGAAUGAACCGCACCUCGGGGAGGUUUUUGGUGCACACGGCCCAUUUGACUUGUGUGUGUGUGUGUGUGUGUGUGUGUGUGUACGUGUGCUCACGCACCUGUCACGCAGAAUGUCCCACAGUGACCACUCGUGAUCGUACGUUCACUGGCAGUGACCACAUCCACGCUCUCGCGCCACCAUCCCCACCGCCCGCCCCCCAAACGCUUUCAUCGUCCCGUGCGACGAUCACUCUGAGCCGCUAAAUGAUAGCUCCCCACCCCCACCCCACCCGGGCCCCGGCAGCCACCAGCCCCCCCCGCCCCAUCCCCGUGAGUGAGCGGCGCUGGCCUGCCUCGUGUAUGUGAACUGCGGCUCACGUCCCCGAGCGCGGUGUCCUCGAGGUUCACCCGGGCCGUCUCCUGUGUCACAACCUCCUUCCCUUUCAAGGCUACGCGGUAUUUCAUCCCGUGUGUAAAUCACACUUUGUGGAUCCCCUGGCUUGUC